RNAcentral lists this ribosomal RNA (482 nucleotides) under uncultured bacterium. RNAcentral describes it as "partial 16S ribosomal RNA". It matches the Rfam family "Bacterial small subunit ribosomal RNA", at positions 30 to 507 of the family's 1533-position model. The record is from RNAcentral.
AUUGAACGCUGGCGGCAUGCUUUACACAUGCAAGUCGAACGGUAACAGGCCGCUAGGUGCUGACGAGUGGCGAACGGGUGAGUAAUGCAUCGGAACGUGCCCAGUCGUGGGGGAUAACUACUCGAAAGAGUAGCUAAUACCGCAUACGAUCUAUGGAUGAAAUCGGGGGACCGUAAGGCCUCGCGCGAUUGGUGCGGCCGAUGUCAGAUUAGGUAGUUGGUGGGGUAAAGGCUCACCAAGCCAACGAUCUGUAGCUGGUCUGAGAGGACGACCAGCCACACUGGGACUGAGACACGGCCCAGACUCCUACGGGAGGCAGCAGUGGGGAAUUUUGGACAAUGGGCGCAAGCCUGAUCCAGCAAUGCCGCGUGCAGGAAGAAGGCCUUCGGGUUGUAAACUGCUUUUGUACGGAACGAAACGGCUCUGGUUAAUACCCGGGGCUAAUGACGGUACCGUAAGAAUAAGCACCGGCUAACUACGUG